GGGCGCGUAGCUCAGCGGUAGAGCACCACGUUCACACCGUGGGGGUCCGUGGUUCGAUCCCACGCGCGCCCACCA
RNAcentral lists this transfer RNA (75 nucleotides) under Alphaproteobacteria bacterium. RNAcentral's name for it is "tRNA-Val". It matches the Rfam family "tRNA". Rfam says of the family: Transfer RNA (tRNA) molecules are approximately 80 nucleotides in length. Their secondary structure includes four short double-helical elements and three loops (D, anti-codon, and T loops). Further hydrogen bonds mediate the characteristic L-shaped molecular structure. tRNAs have two regions of fundamental functional importance: the anti-codon, which is responsible for specific mRNA codon recognition, and the 3' end, to which the tRNAs corresponding amino acid is attached (by aminoacyl-tRNA synthetases). tRNAs cope with the degeneracy of the genetic code in two manners: having more than one tRNA (with a specific anti-codon) for a particular amino acid; and 'wobble' base-pairing, i.e. permitting non-standard base-pairing at the 3rd anti-codon position. The record is from RNAcentral. Lineage: Bacteria; Pseudomonadati; Pseudomonadota; Alphaproteobacteria.